CAGCCGCCGCGGGAAUACGAAGGGGGCUAGCGUUGUUCGGAUUUACUGGGCGUAAAGCGCACGUAGGCGGACUUUUAAGUCAGGGGUGAAAUCCCGGGGCUCAACCCCGGAACUGCCUUUGAUACUGUGAGUCUUGAGUUCGAGAGAGGUGAGUGGAAUUGCGAGUGUAGAGGUGAAAUUCGUAGAUAUUCGCAGGAACACCAGUGGCGAAGGCGGCUCACUGGCUCGAUACUGACGCUGAGGUGCGAAAGCGUGGGGAGCAAACAGGAUUAGAUACCCCCGUAGUCCCUGUCUCUUAUAA
RNAcentral lists this ribosomal RNA (301 nucleotides) under uncultured bacterium. RNAcentral's name for it is "partial 16S ribosomal RNA". It matches the Rfam family "Bacterial small subunit ribosomal RNA", at positions 509 to 809 of the family's 1533-position model. The record is from RNAcentral.